AUGAACGCUGGCGGCGUGCCUAAUACAUGCAAGUCGCGCGCACGGACGAGAAGCUUGCUUUUCUGAUGUUAGCGGCGGACGGGUGAGUAACACGUGGAUAACCUACCUAUAAGACUGGGAUAACUUCGGGAAACCGGAGCUAAUACCGGAUAAUAUUUUGAACCGCAUGGUUCAAAAGUGAAAGACGGUCUUGCUGUCACUUAUAGAUGGAUCCGCGCUGCAUUAGCUAGUUGGUAAGGUAACGGCUUACCAAGGCAACGAUGCAUAGCCGACCUGAGAGGGUGAUCGGCCACACUGGAACUGAGACACGGUCCAGACUCCUACGGGAGGCAGCAGUAGGGAAUCUUCCGCAAUGGGCGAAAGCCUGACGGAGCAACGCCGCGUGAGUGAUGAAGGUCUUCGGAUCGUAAAACUCUGUUAUUAGGGAAGAACAUAUGUGUAAGUAACUGUGCACAUCUUGACGGUACCUAAUCAGAAAGCCACGGCUAACUACGUG
RNAcentral lists this ribosomal RNA (496 nucleotides) under uncultured bacterium. RNAcentral's name for it is "partial 16S ribosomal RNA". It matches the Rfam family "Bacterial small subunit ribosomal RNA", at positions 29 to 507 of the family's 1533-position model. The record is from RNAcentral.